This 74-nucleotide transfer RNA is filed under the name Marmota monax (woodchuck). RNAcentral's name for it is "tRNA.Thr". Lineage: Eukaryota; Metazoa; Chordata; Mammalia; Rodentia; Sciuridae. The record is from RNAcentral.
GCUGGGAACGUAGCCCAGUGGUAGAGCACUUACCUAGUAUGCCUGAGGCCCUGGGUUCAAUCCCCAGCACAGUA